CGGAAUGUAGCUCAGCUUGGUAGAGCACUUGGUUUGGGACCAAGGGGUCAGAGGUUCGAAUCCUCUUAUUCCGA
This 74-nucleotide transfer RNA is filed under the name bacterium. Its description in RNAcentral is "tRNA-Pro". It matches the Rfam family "tRNA". From Rfam's summary of the family: Transfer RNA (tRNA) molecules are approximately 80 nucleotides in length. Their secondary structure includes four short double-helical elements and three loops (D, anti-codon, and T loops). The record is from RNAcentral.